CCGGGGACCAUGGGCUCCAUGUUCCGGAGCGAGGAGGUGGCCCUGGUCCAGCUCUUUCUGCCCACAGCUGCCGCUUACAGCUGCCUCAACGCCUCGGUGAGCGCCUUCCAGAGACGCUUUGUGGUUGAUGUUCGGCGCUGCGAGGAGCUGGAGAAGACCUUCACUUUCCUGCAGGAGGAGGUGCGGCGGGCUGGGCUGGUCCUGCCCCCGCCUGAGGGGAGGCUGCCGGCACCACCACCUCGGGACCUGCUGCGCAUCCAGGAGGAGACGGAGCGCCUGGCCCAGGAGCUGCGGGAUGUGCGGGGCAACCAGCAGGCCCUGCGGGCCCAGCUGCACCAGCUGCAGCUCCACGCCGCCGUGCUGGGCCAGGGCCAUGAACCUCAGCUGGCAGCCGCCCACACAGAUGGGGCCUCAGAGAGGACGCCCCUGCUCCAGGCCCCCGGGGGGCCGCACCAGGACCUGAGGGUCAAGUGAGUGAGGGAUGACCUCAUGCCCUUUCUGGCCAGCCCAGAACCCCUGGCCAGUCACUGGGCUGGGCCAGGCUGAGCUCCGACUCCUUGUCCAGUGCUCUCCCCAGGCUGCCCCUGCCUCCUCCUUCAGGCCCGGAACUUCCCACAGUCCCAAGCCCUGGCCCUGGGGGGUUCUCCUCUUCUGGUCCUGCCCGGGAGGCCUCCUGCCUUCCCCUGUGGGCAGGGCCAGUGUGCCCAAUUGCCCGAUUGCCCGUGCUGGGCAGGGUCCUGCCCGGGGGGCCUGGUGGGGGAUGCAGGGCGGGAGAUGGAGCAGCCCUGCCCAGCACCGUGGCCGCCAGCUUUGUGGCAGGUGCCGUGGAGCCCCACAAGGCCGCUGCCCUAGAGCGCCUGCUCUGGAGGGCCUGCCGCGGCUUCCUCAUCGCCAGCUUCAGGGAGCUGGAGCAGCCGCUGGAGCACCCCGUAACGGUGAGCAGCUGGCACUGGGCUGGGGGGUCCUGGGCAGAGCGGGACCCCGGAGUCAACUGAGCCUGCUCUGCAGGGCGAGCCAGCCACGUGGAU
Molecule: small RNA, 1028 nt
Filed under: Pongo abelii (Sumatran orangutan)
Lineage: Eukaryota; Metazoa; Chordata; Mammalia; Primates; Hominidae
Description: retained intron
Source: RNAcentral